GAUGAACGCUGGCGGCGUGCCUAAUACAUGCAAGUCGAGCGAACAGACGAGGAGCUUGCUCCUCUGACGUUAGCGGCGGACGGGUGAGUAACACGUGGAUAACCUACCUAUAAGACUGGGAUAACUUCGGGAAACCGGAGCUAAUACCGGAUAAUAUAUUGAACCGCAUGGUUCAAUAGUGAAAGACGGUUUUGCUGUCACUUAUAGAUGGAUCCGCGCCGCAUUAGCUAGUUGGUAAGGUAACGGCUUACCAAGGCGACGAUGCGUAGCCGACCUGAGAGGGUGGUCGGCCACACUGGAACUGAGACACGGUCCAGACUCCUACGGGAGGCAGCAGUAGGGAAUCUUCCGCAAUGGGCGAAAGCCUGACGGAGCAACGCCGCGUGAGUGAUGAAGGUCUUCGGAUCGUAAAACUCUGUAAUUAGGGAAGAACAAAUGUGUAAGUAACUAUGCACGUCUUGACGGUACCUAAUCAGAAAGCCACGGCUAACUACGUG
RNAcentral lists this ribosomal RNA (497 nucleotides) under uncultured bacterium. RNAcentral's name for it is "partial 16S ribosomal RNA". It matches the Rfam family "Bacterial small subunit ribosomal RNA", at positions 28 to 507 of the family's 1533-position model. The record is from RNAcentral.